RNAcentral lists this ribosomal RNA (492 nucleotides) under uncultured bacterium. Its description in RNAcentral is "partial 16S ribosomal RNA". It matches the Rfam family "Bacterial small subunit ribosomal RNA", at positions 29 to 507 of the family's 1533-position model. The record is from RNAcentral.
AGUGAACGCUGGCGGUAGGCCUAACACAUGCAAGUCGAACGGCAGCACAGUAAGAGCUUGCUCUUACGGGUGGCGAGUGGCGGACGGGUGAGGAAUACAUCGGAAUCUACUUUUUCGUGGGGGAUAACGUAGGGAAACUUACGCUAAUACCGCAUACGACCUACGGGUGAAAGCAGGGGAUCUUCGGACCUUGCGCGAUUGAAUGAGCCGAUGUCGGACUAGCUAGUUGGCGGGGUAAAGGUCCACCAAGGCGACGAUCCGUAGCUGGUCUGAGAGGAUGAUCAGCCACACUGGAACUGAGACACGGUCCAGACUCCUACGGGAGGCAGCAGUGGGGAAUAUUGGACAAUGGGCGCAAGCCUGAUCCAGCCAUACCGCGUGGGUGAAGAAGGCCUUCGGGUUGUAAAGCCCUUUUGUUGGGAAAGAAAAGCAGCAGGUUAAUACCCCGCUGUUCUGACGGUACCCAAAGAAUAAGCACCGGCUAACUUCGUG